AGUAAUAUAUUCCAACAUUAAUUUCUAAACAGAAAAUAAUUAAUUCAGUUUUAAACAUUUGUCUGCAAUCAGUGGACAUAUGUGUGGCAAUAAAGAUGUGAACGCUGUAAACUCUUAAAUUAGAUGCUUAUUUAAAAAAAAAAAAAAACAUGCUUUCAGGAAAUAAUUGAGAGGACAGGGAUUGAUCAUCUGUUCACAGCUGAACUGGCCUGGACCACAGCGAGACUCUUCUGUCUCAGUCAGAUGGAAGAAGAGCUCCUGGAAGAGCUGGACAAAGAAAAGUGUCUUUCCCAGCUGUUCAGCAGGAAGGUCACACUGGAGGGCCUUCAGAUGUUUGUCACAGUUGUCCACCCAA
Molecule: long non-coding RNA, 355 nt
Organism: Sander lucioperca (pikeperch)
Lineage: Eukaryota; Metazoa; Chordata; Actinopteri; Perciformes; Percidae
Exons: 3
Source: RefSeq, a predicted model, not a curated record